GCCAUCAAUAUUGGUUACUCCUGUAGGCUGGUGUCACAUGGCAUGUCCCUCAUCAUCGUCAAUGAAGAUUCCCUGGAUGUGAAGGUAAUUAAGGUGUCUG
Long non-coding RNA from Sinocyclocheilus anshuiensis, 100 nucleotides. RefSeq lists it as uncharacterized. The transcript is spliced from 3 exons. Lineage: Eukaryota; Metazoa; Chordata; Actinopteri; Cypriniformes; Cyprinidae. The record is from RefSeq and is a predicted model, not a curated record.